AGUGAACGCUGGCGGUAGGCCUAACACAUGCAAGUCGAACGGCAGCACAGUAAGAGCUUGCUCUUACGGGUGGCGAGUGGCGGACGGGUGAGGAAUACAUCGGAAUCUACUUUUUCGUGGGGGAUAACGUAGGGAAACUUACGCUAAUACCGCAUACGACCUACGGGUGAAAGCAGUGGAUCUUCGGACCUUGCGCGAUUGAAUGAGCCGAUGUCGGAUUAGCUAGUUGGCGGGGUAAAGGCCCACCAAGGCGACGAUCCGUAGCUGGUCUGAGAGGAGGGUCAGCGACACUGGAACUGGGACACGGUCCAGACUCCUAAGGGAGGCAGCAGUGGGGAAUAUUGGACAAUGGGCGCAAGCCUGAUCCAGCCAUACCGCGUGGGUGAAGAAGGCCUUCGGGUUGUAAAGCCCUUUUGUUGGGAAAGAAAAGCAGCAGGUUAAUACCCCGCUGUUCUGACGGUACCCAAAGAAUAAGCACCGGCUAACUUCGUG
This 492-nucleotide ribosomal RNA is filed under the name uncultured bacterium. Its description in RNAcentral is "partial 16S ribosomal RNA". It matches the Rfam family "Bacterial small subunit ribosomal RNA", at positions 29 to 507 of the family's 1533-position model. The record is from RNAcentral.